Molecule: long non-coding RNA, 795 nt
Organism: Sceloporus undulatus (fence lizard)
Lineage: Eukaryota; Metazoa; Chordata; Lepidosauria; Squamata; Phrynosomatidae
Exons: 4
Source: RefSeq, a predicted model, not a curated record
UAUGCAAUAUGUCAUAAAGUAAGGACUAGAAAUAGGCCAUAAACAGUCUUUAGGAACAGCAGAGAAAGCAAAUAAUAAAGGUAUUCAAUUGAUGGACAUACCUAAUUAAUCCACGAUACAUUAUAUAACUGCACCACCUGUUGUGAUCUGUGUUGUCAAUAUCCUAAGCAUAAGUAAAAACAAAUCAAAGAAAAAAUGAUUAACAAAUUAUGUCUUUACAGAUUCAACAAAAAUAUCUACAUAAUAAGUUUUCAGAGGCCUUUGGUAAAUGUGAAGCUAGAGGCUACUUUACACAGGGCUUUUACAAAAUUCUUGUACAUGGGUAAAGAAAUGUAUUGAGUUUGGACAAUAUGGUGGCACAACUGAUUGCACUUUCUGUAAUCACAGCAGUACAUUUUGAAGUGGGGCAUGGAUUUUUAUUUUCAUUUAUUGUAUUUUUAUUUUUGAUAGUAUGAAACCAGCCCAUGAGCAUCCCCAAGCUAUGAACCUUCUCGUUCAGAAGGAGAGCAACCUCAUUCAGAACAAGUUGCAAUCCUAAUCCCAGAUGAUGAGUGCUUAACAGUGCCAUCACAGAUGCAGUCCCACAGCUGGGUGCUUCGUAACACCUCACAACACUCUCCAGUGGAAUCACCUCACGGAAGCAUCUGCUAUUAAUCUACAUUGAGUAAUCAAGCAAUGAGAAAUUAAUGUUACAAAUUAAGGAAAGUGGAAAAUGAAAAAUUUGGAAGAUCGUUUCAUUGCAUCAGUGAGCUAUGCCCCACUCCCACCAUCGAUUAAAGCAUUUUAAAGGGAAGC